Molecule: long non-coding RNA, 948 nt
Filed under: Salmo salar (Atlantic salmon)
Lineage: Eukaryota; Metazoa; Chordata; Actinopteri; Salmoniformes; Salmonidae
Description: lncRNA (ENSSSAG00000100027.1)
Source: RNAcentral
CUUGUAGUUGCUUAUUGUAGCAUCUUUGGGUUUUAUAAAAGCGAUAUAAAAUCAUAUGUAUUAAAUGAAAAGCCUAAUUUCUGCAAAUUAUUAAUUGCAGAACUGCCUACAUCCUGGCUUAAAACCCUAUAGAGUCUAUUGACGCUCCGAAGAGUCAAUCUAUGUAACAUAAUACAAAAAUCUGUCAGUUUAAGCUAGAGAUAUCAGUUUUUUGCACGGGCUAUGUCUAAAUCCACCGCAUCCGCUUAUGGCGGCCUUCUGCAUCUGUGGUGGAAGGUGGCAGAGCUACAACGGUUUUUGUAAGACCAUGAAAUAUCCUGAAAAUUGGUCUUGUCACGAAAAUGACUAGCAUUCGGACGGUUUGGCUUGUAUGACCAAUUUAUGGAAAGAUAGUGUUCUCUGUUUUGCUCUAUGACCCCGACAAGUGUCAGGAGACUCAUCUGAAGGACCUGAGCCCUAGGACCAUGCCUCAGGACUACCUGGUAUGAUGACUCCUUGCUGUCCCCAGUCCACCUGGCCGUGCUGCUGCUCCAGUUUCAACUGUUCUGCCUGCGGCUAUGGAACCCUGACCUGUUCACCGGACGUGCUUGUUGCACCCUCGACAACUACUAUGAUUAUUAUUAUUUGACCAUGCUGGUCAUUUAUGAACAUUUUAACAUUUUAACAUUUUGACCAUGUUCUGUUAUAAUAUCCACCCUGCACAGCCAGAAGAGGACUGGCCACCCCUCAUAGCCUGGUUCCUCUCUAGGUUUCUUCCUAGGUUUUUGGCCUUUCUAGGGAGUUUUUCCUAGGGACUUUUUCCUAGCCACCGUGCUUCUUUCACAUGCUUUGCUUGCUGUUUGGGGUUUUAGGCUGGGUUUCUGUACAGCACUUUGAGAAUAUCAGCUGAUGUACGAAGGGCUAUAUAAAAAUAAAUUUGAUUUGAUUUAAUCACCUGGAAGGUAUUUC